Molecule: long non-coding RNA, 482 nt
Filed under: Pongo abelii (Sumatran orangutan)
Lineage: Eukaryota; Metazoa; Chordata; Mammalia; Primates; Hominidae
Description: lncRNA (ENSPPYG00000033642.1)
Source: RNAcentral
CAUCAAACUGAAUGAUAUCACAAUGCAUAUUUUGAACAUGCCUUCCUGAUGCCUGUCUUGGACCCAGGACGAGCGCACUCGGGCUCCCCUCCCUAAUCUCCGUGAACUCCAGGAGGCCACUUCGCCUGGCUCAGUGGAGCCCUUCCCUGGAGCCAGCUGUGCAUCAUUUUAAGACCCAGUAAGGACCAAAGGCUUGAGAACCACAACCAGAUGUUUUCUUCUCAGCAUUUGAAGGCCUGCCUGAAGUCUCAGUUCCUCAAGGACUGAUCCUAAGCUCUGUUCUGGUUACCGAACACCCACUGACCACAAAUAUGGAAGGACCCUGAUUGCAAUGGGUACCAUGUGAAAGGGGAAAUAAAUCAAUACAAAUGAUAAAACCCAUUGGACAUACAUCCUAGUUUGUAGUGUGUGUGAAUAUUCUAGGUGGUGAGACUGAGCCAACAUUGAGACGAAACAACUUUUUAAAAUCACUGCAUGAUAUU